Molecule: long non-coding RNA, 504 nt
Organism: Amblyraja radiata (thorny skate)
Lineage: Eukaryota; Metazoa; Chordata; Chondrichthyes; Rajiformes; Rajidae
Exons: 2
Source: RefSeq, a predicted model, not a curated record
ACAAGCCCAGCUGCUCCAUUCUCUCAGCAUAUGACAGCCCCGCCAUCUCGGGAAUUAACUUUGAUUAGCAGAGCUCAGGAGGUUUGGACUGGUCCCAUGACACCUGAGUCUCUCCUGAAGAUGGCAGGAAAGAAGUGGCAACAGUGGCAACGAUGGAGGAGAUCGAUGUACAAGGCUGCCGUGGACCCGGUAAGAUGGACCUUGACAUCAGAAAGAUGAGGAGCCUGAUUGCCCUGGCUCUGAGGGCCCGACUGCCGGCUACUGGAGCCAAGAUCGUCCCAUCAACGGAGGGCUCGAGGCCCCCCGACUGCAUGAGAACAAAGAAGGGAAGAGAUUGAACACUUUUUCACCUUCCAUCACAGUGAGGAAUGUGGAGGAGUCACUGUGGUGGAUGUUUAUGUUAAAAUGAUUAUGAUUAUGAUUCUCAUUGGGAAACUGAUAAACACUGGCCUGGCCCAUGAUGCUCAAACACCCCAAAAAUAAAUAAACUGGAAAUGAACUAAA